Molecule: ribosomal RNA, 424 nt
Filed under: uncultured bacterium
Lineage: Bacteria
Description: bacterial SSU rRNA
Rfam family: Bacterial small subunit ribosomal RNA
Source: RNAcentral
AACGAACGCUGGCGGCGUGCUUAACACAUGCAAGUCGAACGAACCUUUCGGGGUUAGUGGCGGACGGGUGAGUAACGCGUGAGGAUCUGCCCUCAGGAGGGGGACAACUUUUGGAAACGGAAGCUAAUACCCCAUAUGGCGAGAGCUGAAAGAUUUAUCGCCUGAGGAUGAGCUCGCGUCUGAUUAGCUAGUUGGUGGGGUAAAGGCUUACCAAGGCGACGAUCAGUAGCUGUUCUGAGAGGAAGAUCAGCCACACUGGGACUGAGACACGGCCCAGACUCCUACGGGAGGCAGCAGUGGGAAUUUUCCGCAAUGGGCGCAAGCCUGACGGAGCAACGCCGCGUGAGGGAGGAAUGCCUGUGGAUUGUAAACCUCUUUUCUCUGGGAAGAAGUACUGACGGUACCAGAGGAAUCAGCAUCGGCU